UUUUUUGUUGUUGGGUUUUUUAAUUUUUUUUUAAAUUUUAUUUAUAUAUUUAUUUAUUUAUUUUGGUUUUUUGAGACAGGGUUUCUCUACGUAGCCCUGGCUGUCCUGGAACUCACUCUGUAGACCAGGUUGGCCUCAAACUCAGAAAUCCGCCUGCCUGUACCUCCCAAGUGCUGGGAUUAAAGGCAUGUGCCACCACUGCCCGGCAAUAACUACAUUUUUUAAAGUUUAAUAUAUUGCUUGGUUUACUUCUGACAGUAUGAAUACUUUUUUAAUAGUAAAAACCACUCAAGGUUCCCAAUUUGUAUACUUAUUCUUUUAGUAACAAUUUUAUAUAUUGAUAACUUGAGUUUCAAAUAUUUCUGGAAACAUUCCCUAUGUUCAAAUAUUUGUCAUCUUUUCUUUCUUUUUCCUUUCUUAUUUUUUCUUUUUUUAUACCCAGGGGCCACAGAGAUCUGCUUGCCUCUGUCCUCUGUGCUGGGAUUAAAGGGGUGCACCACUAGGUACAAAAGGCUGUUUUUAGGUGUGGGAGAAUAACACAAACAAAAGGUGCACGGAAGACCCGUAGCCAGCAAAGCAGAGGGGAGGACUGUAUGAAGGAUCUUUGUCUCUCCUUGAGGGCUCGAAGAUUUUAAGAUUUUGACAAAGAUUGGAAGCCUGAUAGGUCCAGAACUCUGAGGUAAACACACCCUGGUCUGCCCUUGAAUUUGACAGACCCAUCCACAAGCAAGGGGCCUUACAGUCAGAGAAAAAGCCUGCCGAGCCUUUGUUCUCAGAUGCUACGCUUUUGUCUUAGGUCAAGAGGAAGAAGCAGCAGCCAGUCAUCCUGAAAAUUCAUUAUCUUCCUUUAUCUAGCCAUGGGCCUUAAAAGCAAUGUCCCACCAGGGGGCUUGUCAGUAUCCGUGAGGAGAGGUCAGACGCUAACAUACUUUUUUAAAAGGUAUAUAUAUUUUUAGAAUUAUAUGUAUGUUGAGUAUUUUACCUGGGUGUAUUCCAGUAAGGCACUAGGAGUUAAAUGGAUUCUAUGACAGGCAGACAGGGAGAGAUAUAGAGCACCCACAUAGUGGUACUCACAGCAGGCAUGCAUCCAUAAACACAAAUCUUAAAAUUUACAAAAAGAAAAAGAGGCUCCCUCCUCUGCCUUAUUGCUCUGAUUGUGUUCAGAGAUCCCACCAUGCCCCUGGUGCUGAGGCCUGCACUCUCACCACACUAUUGUCCCUCUGUCUGUCUUAGGUGUUAAUUCCAAAGAUUCGAGGAGAAAGACAAACCCAAAUCAUCAUGACCAAAUUAGUUAAAGCAAACAAUUAAUUUAAAGCAAGAUUUUUUUUUUUAUUUGUGUACAGGUGUAGCCAUGUUUUUGUGCCCGUGUAAAGGUUAUCCUUGUGUGAUUCAAAUGCUGGUUUCUCUGCCCCCACAUCUUGUUCCAAUCUGGACAUGGCAUUGUUGUGUUUAUUCUUAGAAUCUCCUGUCUCAAUUUUGUAUAAACAUUGCUCCUCAUUCAUUCUCUGCCUUGCCAAUAAAAGCCACAGAGCCAAUACAGAGCUUUAGAGAGAAUAAGGUGGGACUUCAGAUUCUAAGAGGGGAGAAAAAGAGACAGCAUGUGAAGGAGGGAACCAUGAGGAGAGUUGAAGAGGCUUCAGCAGAGAGCUGGAUCAAGAAAGGACAGAAAGCUGGGCAGUGGUGGCGCACGCUUUUAAUCCCAGCACUCCGGAGACAGAGACAGGUGAAUUUCUGAGUUAGAGGCCAGCCUGGUCUACACAGUGAGUUCCAGGACAGCCAGAGCUACACAGAGAAACCCUGUCUCCAAAAAAAGAAAAGAAAAGAAAAAAAUCAGUCUUAGAAGUGGGAAAGACAAAGCUUUUAUAGCUCAGGGGUAGAGAAUCCAAAUUGGGGAUUUGGCAGGCAGAAUAGGUGGAGCUACAGGAAAAUAACCUAAUUAUAACAAGUUACUCAUAACAGUAUCCUGAAAUAAAGGCAUGGUUGCAAAGUGGUCAUAAAAGGUAGUCAUAACAACCUUUUGAAACAAAGAUAGAACCGCCAGAUAGUUAUAAUAACUUUUUGAAACAAAGACAUGUUUGCUAUUUCCUGGAACAUGCGGUACAGACCAUUUGUAGUUAAGGUUACGGGUUGGGCAGAGCCCAGUUCUUGAGAAAUAGAGAUUUAAUCAUAAGCAGGAAUGAACCUAGUUUGUCUUUACUAUAGGAUAGCUGUAAAGCUAAGAUGGAGGCAGGCUGGUUCAUCAUUGUUAAGAACCCUUCGAAUAAAUCCUCAUGGGCUGCUUAAGAACACUGGCUGCUCUUGCAGAGGACCUUAGUUUGAUUCCCAGCAACCACAUGGCAUAACUCCUUAGUUUCUGGUAAUCUGUGUGGUGUCUCCCUUUCCCCCAACCCCCACCACAUUCAAAACCUCCUUGCACUGUGUGGGUCCUGGAGAUCAGACUUGGGCUUAGCAACAUUUCUCUUUACCUGCCUGAUAUCUUGUUUUUACUUUUUUUGUUUUGUUAUUGUUGUUUUUCUUUCUUUUGGGGGGGGUGUUGGGUUUUUUUGUUUGUUUGUUUUGUUUUGUUUUUGGGUUUUUUUUCGAGACAGGGUUUCUCUGUGUAGCCCUGGCUGUCCUGGAACUCACUUUGUAGACCAGGCUUGGCCUCGAACUCAGAAAUCCACCUGCCUCUGCCUCCCAAGUGCUGGGAUUAAAGGCGUACGCCACCAUACCUGGCUUCUUUCUUUAUUUCUUUUUUUUUUUUUUAAAGAUUUAUUUAUUAUAUGUAAGUACACUAUAGCUGUUUUUUCAGACACACCAGAAGAGGGCAUUUGAUCUGAUCGUUGUGAGCCACCAUGUGGUUGCUGGGAUUUGAACUCAGGACCUCUGGAAGAACAGUCAGUGCUCUUAACCACUGAGCCAACUCUCCAGCUCUCACUCUGGCCCCGCUUGCUCCAGGGCUGUCUUCAGAGACCAUAGAAGAGAGCAUCAGAUCUCAUUAUGGAUGGUUGUGAGUGACCAUGUGGUUGCUGGGAUUUGAAUUCAGGACCUUCGAAAGAACAGUCAGCUCUCGUAACCACUGAGCCAUCUCUCCAGCCCCAUUGUUACCGUUUUUUUUCAAGACAGGGUUUCUCCUUGUAGACUAGGCUGAUCUUGAACUCAGAGAUCACCCUGUCUCUGUGCCUCCUAUGUACUAGGAUUAAAGCAGGCUCCACCAUCGCCCUGCCUUUUUUCUUUUUCAGUGCUGGGUUUUGAAUGUUGUGUGUAUGCAGGUGCACAUAUAUAUGUAGCUGUGUAGGCAUGUGUGUGUACUGGUGUCUGGGAGGCAGAGGACAAUGCUGGGUAUUGUUCAUUAUGCACUGCCUCCCUUGUGUUUUGAAAUAGGGUCUCACUGGCCUGGAACUCACCAAGUAGUUAGACUGGCCCAUGAGCCUCAUACUCUAGUUAGACUGGCUCAUGAGCCUCAUAGGCUUGCCUGUUUGACCUUCCCUUAGUGUUAGCCACCGGACCUCACUCUUUUAUGUGGAUUCUAAGGAUUAAACCCAGGUCCACUCGAUAUGUGAGAUAGUGCAGUGGGUGAAGGUACUUGCUUUUAACCGUGGCUGAGUUCCAAUCCCAGGACCCUCACAGUGAGAGGAGAAAACCAACUCCUAGGCAUUGUCAUUUGGAGCUCCUAGGCAUGAUGGCAGGUGCACCCCCACCCCUGAGAAACGCAAUAAACUAAGUUCUUCAUAAAAAGAAAAAGAAAGUUGCUUGGUAAGUGUAUAAGUAUUCAGUACUCUAUUUUCUCUACUUUUUCUUGAUUAUUUCAUUUCUCCAGACAGUGCAGCCCAGGCUGGCCUCAAACUCACUAUAUAGCUAAGGAUGACUUUGAACUUCUCAUCUUUCCGCCUCUGUCUCCCAAAUGCCAUGACUUCAGAGUACCCACCACACCACACUUUAUUCACUUCACUCUUCUGUAGAUUUACCCUAGGACUCGUGCAUGCCAGAAAUGCACUCCACCUUACAAUGGAGCUAUAUUCCCAGUCCCAUGUUUAAUUUUUUUUGCUUUGUUUUGUUUUUUGUUUUUUCAAGACAGGGUUUCUCUGUAUAACCCUGGCUGUCCUGGAACUCACUUUGUAGACCAGGCUGGCCUCGAACUCAGAAAUCCACCUGCCUCUGCCUCCCGAGUGCUGGGAUUAAAGGCGUGCGCCACCACGCCUGGCGAUUUAUUUUUUUUAAGGCUGGAAAGAUAGUUCAGUGGUUAAGAGCACUUAUUGCUUUUUUUUUAGAGGACCAGAGAUCAGUUCCCAGCACCCACAUGGGACAUCUUACAACCUGUAGCUACAGUUCCAGGAGAUCUAAUACCGUUUUUAGCCACUGUGCCCACCUGCGUACACAUGUUGCACUUACAUACAGUCACAUAUGUGCACACACAUAAAAUAAUUUUUAAAUUUGUUAUUGUUAGUUAUGUGUAGGUGUGUGAGCGUGUAAGUGCAGAUGAGUGCAGGCAUCUGACCCCCUGGAGCUGGAGUUACAAGUGAUCAUAAGUUGCUGAGUGUGCAAAGAACCGAGGAUCCAGCGUUCUUAACCACUGAGCCGUCUCUUCAGCUCCCGCAUGUUUUAUAUUUUAUAUAUUUAAAACAAACC
This 4608-nucleotide long non-coding RNA is filed under the name Mus musculus (house mouse). RNAcentral's name for it is "long non-coding RNA chr4:116127394-116132002". Lineage: Eukaryota; Metazoa; Chordata; Mammalia; Rodentia; Muridae. The record is from RNAcentral.